GUUACAGCAAAAUCUGUAACCCGGAUUAUCACCCCGGUAUUAUACAAGGCGCAACAGGACGCUUAUCGUCCUUUUU
Molecule: non-coding RNA, 76 nt
Filed under: Endozoicomonas montiporae CL-33
Lineage: Bacteria; Pseudomonadati; Pseudomonadota; Gammaproteobacteria; Oceanospirillales; Endozoicomonadaceae
Also listed under: 1 other name
Source: RNAcentral